This 402-nucleotide long non-coding RNA is filed under the name Pogona vitticeps (central bearded dragon). Its description in RNAcentral is "lncRNA (ENSPVIG00000007188.1)". The record is from RNAcentral. Lineage: Eukaryota; Metazoa; Chordata; Lepidosauria; Squamata; Agamidae.
CCUGCAUUGACCAGGGGGUUGAACUUGGUGGCCUUAAAGGCCGUUUCCAACUUUUUGAUUCUAUGAUUCUGUGAUUAUUGCAGCAGACGGAAUCCUUGCUUAGCCAGCACGACAAUGCUUGACAGAUCCUAGCAGCAGACAGGAAAGCUAGGGAAGAAGAGGCAGUACCAUACAUGGCCACGUUAAGGUGGGGACAGUCCCCUGUGAGGAAAUUUCUAAAGGGGAUGGAAAAGGAUCCAGUUAACCUACAAAUGUCAGUGUUGUGAUAUGAGCCUCUGAUGAAGACUUGAGGAAAACGUCUAGGCACAGAGAAGACGGGGAAGAAAGCCUUGAAUUAACAGAUGGACAGAAGGGAGUCACACACCUACAGUGUGCAUAGAAAAGUGUGAAGCGUACAUCUUU